RNAcentral lists this ribosomal RNA (1042 nucleotides) under Pyricularia oryzae. RNAcentral's name for it is "SSU rRNA". It matches the Rfam family "Eukaryotic small subunit ribosomal RNA", at positions 3 to 1055 of the family's 1831-position model. The record is from RNAcentral. Lineage: Eukaryota; Fungi; Ascomycota; Sordariomycetes; Magnaporthales; Pyriculariaceae.
CCUGGUUGAUUCUGCCAGUAGUCAUAUGCUUGUCUUAAAGAUUAAGCCAUGCAUGUCUAAGUAUAAGCAAUUAUACAGCGAAACUGCGAAUGGCUCAUUAAAUCAGUUAUCGUUUAUUUGAUAGUACCUUACUACAUGGAUAACCGUGGUAAUUCUAGAGCUAAUACAUGCUAAAAACCCCGACUUCGGAAGGGGUGUAUUUAUUAGAUUAAAAACCAAUGCCCUUCGGGGCUCACUGGUGAUUCAUGAUAACUUCUCGAAUCGCACGGCCUUGCGCCGGCGAUGGUUCAUUCAAAUUUCUGCCCUAUCAACUUUCGACGGCUGGGUCUUGGCCAGCCGUGGUGACAACGGGUAACGGAGGGUUAGGGCUCGACCCCGGAGAAAACGCCUGAGAAACGGCGUUUACAUCCAAGGAAGGCAGCAGGCGCGCAAAUUACCCAAUGCCGACACGGCGAGGUAGUGACGAGAAAUACUGAUACAGGGCUCUUUUGGGUCUUGUAAUUGGAAUGAGUACAAUUUAAAUCUCUUAACGAGGAACAAUUGGAGGGCAAGUCUGGUGCCAGCAGCCGCGGUAAUUCCAGCUCCAAUAGCGUAUAUUAAAGUUGUUGCAGUUAAAAAGCUCGUAGUUGAACCUUGGGCCUGGCUGGCCGGUCCGCCUCACCGCGUGCACUGGUCCGGCCGGGCCUUUCCCUCUGGGGAACCGCAUGCCCUUCACUGGGCGUGUCGGGGAACCAGGACUUUUACUUUGAAAAAAUUAGAGUGUUCAAAGCAGGCCUAUGCUCGAAUACAUUAGCAUGGAAUAAUAGAAUAGGACGUGUGGUUCUAUUUUGUUGGUUUCUAGGACCGCCGUAAUGAUUAAUAGGGACAGUCGGGGGCAUCAGUAUUCAAUUGUCAGAGGUGAAAUUCUUGGAUUUAUUGAAGACUAACUACUGCGAAAGCAUUUGCCAAGGAUGUUUUCAUUAAUCAGGAACGAAAGUUAGGGGAUCGAAGACGAUCAGAUACCGUCGUAGUCUUAACCAUAAACUAUGCCGACUAGGGAUCG